Molecule: long non-coding RNA, 1429 nt
Filed under: Monodelphis domestica (gray short-tailed opossum)
Lineage: Eukaryota; Metazoa; Chordata; Mammalia; Didelphimorphia; Didelphidae
Description: lncRNA (ENSMODG00000043552.1)
Source: RNAcentral
AUGGGACAAGCAACUUAUUCCUACAUAGAAAAACAUGCUAACCAUGGAAGAAGCACAGCCCAACUGAACAGGAUUAAGAGGAUUCAAUAAUUUCCCUGAAAGGCUGAACUGGAAAGCUGACAUUGAAGCCAUAUCAGAAUACAAAACAGUUUAUGGUAUUCCCAGUUUACAUUUCCGCUCUCCUGUCCACUUAGUGAAAUCCAGGCCUGGCUUGGGACGAUUCUCUGAUCCAUGGCCAUCCACUGCAAGGCAGACAAGUCCUCUGCUGUUAGCCACUGUUGCUUCAGGGACACCAGAGCUUCCAGGCUCAGGACUUUUAGAUUUUUCAAACCCAAAUCAGUCAGUCAGUCAGUCAACAUUCAUUAAAUGCCUGCUAAGUGCUCAGGAGACAAAAAGAGGCAAAAGACAGUGCCUGCUCUCGAAGAGCUUACAAUCUGAGGGGAAGAACACAUGUAAACAAAGCAAGCUGAUAUUUAGGAUAAAGAGAAAAUAAUUAACAGAGGGAAGGUCGUGGAAUUAAGAGGGGUUGUUUCCUGUAGAUGGUGGAUUUUCGUUGGGACAUAAAGGAAGUCCAGGAGAUUAGUGGUUGGGUCAAAGAAAGAAGAGGAUUUGUUUCAGGCACAGUGGGACAGCCAAACAGACAGAAUGGCCCUAGCCAAGAGAUGGAGUAUCUUGUUUAUGGAACAGCCAGGAGGCUAACGUUGUUGCUGGAUUGAGGAGUACAUGUCUGGGGGUAAAGUCUAAGGUGACUGGAAAGAAGCAACACUCCAUCUCAUUGCCAUUGUUAUGGGCGGAGAAGACCCAGGAGCCACUUCAAGUUUGCCACAUCAUUCUCAGAGCCAAGUCCUUUCAGCACUGGUCCAUCACUGGGCCAGAUAAAGGCAGGAAGUUCAUUCUCCCCCAAAGCCCAAGCAAUGAAUACAAACCUUUGGAAGGCUCAGUAACUUUCCAGGGGAUCUCUAGGCUCAGGCUUCUUUGCAUGGCCCUCUCUUUCCGGCUGGUUCAUUUAGCCUGUACCCUGGAGCUUCAUAUCCCAACACAAUACUCUCUAGGGUUUAGGAUUAUAACCCCAAAGAGCUCCAGGGGUGUCUUUUCUAAUGACUGUAACUCACAAAUGGUUCUUUCUAUGAUCAUUUAGCUGAUAUGUCAGCUAGACUUAAUUAACUUUUGUUGUUCAGUUGUUUCCAGGAGAAUAUAACUUUCUGACCCCAUUUGAGGUUUUCUUGGCAAAGAUCCUGGAGUGGUUUGCCAGCCCCAUUUUAUAGAUGAGGAAACUGAGGCAAACAGGGUUAAGUGACUUGCCCAGGGUCUCACCUCAGAUUUAUGGCAGUUGGGAUCCUGGGCAAGUCACUUAAUCUUUCUCAGACUCAAUUUUCCUACCUGUACAAUGGAGAUAAUAAUAAAGAUAAUAAUGACAAUUACCUCUCCA